UACGUAGGGUGCAAGCGUUAAUCGGAAUUACUGGUCGUAAAGCGUGCGCAGUCGGUUUUGUAAGUCUGUCGUGAAAGCCCCGGGCUCAACCUGGGAAUUGCGAUGGAGACUGCAAGGCUUGAAUCUGGCAGAGGGGGGUAGAAUUCCACGUGUAGCAGUGAAAUGCGUAGAGAUGUGGAGGAACACCGAUGGCGAAGGCAGCCCCCUGGGUCAAGAUUGACGCUCAUGCACGAAAGCGUGGGGAGCAAACAGG
This 253-nucleotide ribosomal RNA is filed under the name uncultured bacterium. RNAcentral's name for it is "partial 16S ribosomal RNA". It matches the Rfam family "Bacterial small subunit ribosomal RNA", at positions 524 to 776 of the family's 1533-position model. The record is from RNAcentral.